GAUGAACGCUGGCGGCGUGCCUAAUACAUGCAAGUCGAGCGAACAGAUGAGGAGCUUGCUCCUCUGACGUUAGCGGCGGACGGGUGAGUAACACGUGGAUAACCUACCUAUAAGACUGGGAUAACUUCGGGAAACCGGAGCUAAUACCGGAUAAUAUAUUGAACCGCAUGGUUCAAUAGUGAAAGACGGUUUUGCUGUCACUUAUAGAUGGAUCCGCGCCGCAUUAGCUAGUUGGUAAGGUAACGGCUUACCAAGGCAACGAUGCGUAGCCGACCUGAGAGGGUGAUCGGCCACACUGGAACCGAGACACGGUCCAGACUCCUACGGGAGGCAGCAGUAGGGAAUCUUCCGCAAUGGGCGAAAGCCUGACGGAGCAACGCCGCGUGAGUGAUGAAGGUCUUCGGAUCGUAAAACUCUGUUAUUAGGGAAGAACAAAUGUGUAAGUAACUAUGCACGUCUUGACGGUACCUAAUCAGAAAGCCACGGCUAACUACGUG
Molecule: ribosomal RNA, 497 nt
Filed under: uncultured bacterium
Lineage: Bacteria
Description: partial 16S ribosomal RNA
Rfam family: Bacterial small subunit ribosomal RNA
Source: RNAcentral